AGCGAACGCUGGCGGCAGGCCUAACACAUGCAAGUCGAACGAACCUUUCGGGGUUAGUGGCGGACGUGUGAGUAACACGUGGGAACGUGCCUUUAGGUUCGGCAUAACUCAGGGAAACUUGUGCUAAUACCGGAUGUGCCCUUCGGGGGCAAGAUUUAUCGCCUUUAGAGCGGCCCGCGUCGGAUUAGCUAGUUGGUUGAGGUAAUGGCUCAUCAAGGCGACGACCAGUAGCUGGUCUGUGAGGAUGAUCAGCCACAUUGGGACUGAGACACGGCCCAAACUCCUACGGGAGGCAGCAGGGGGGAAUCUUGCGCAAUGGGCGAAAGCCUGACGCAGCCAUGCCGCGUGAAUGAUGAAGGUCUUAGGAUUGUAAAAUUCUUUCACCGGGGACGAUAAUGACGGUACCCGGAGAAGAAGCCCCGGCUAACUUCGUG
Molecule: ribosomal RNA, 434 nt
Filed under: uncultured bacterium
Lineage: Bacteria
Description: partial 16S ribosomal RNA
Rfam family: Bacterial small subunit ribosomal RNA
Source: RNAcentral